UACGAAGGGUGCUAGCGUUGUUCGGAAUCACUGGGCGUAAAGCGCGCGUAGGCGGCUUAUCAAGUCAGGGGUGAAAUCCUUGGGCUCAACCCAAGAAUUGCCUUUGAAACUGAUAAGCUAGAGUACUGGAGGGGAUAGCGGAAUUGCUAAUGUAGCGGUGAAAUGCGUAGAUAUUAGCAGGAACACCGGUGGCGAAGGCGGGUCUCUGGGCCGAUACUGACGCUGAGGAGCGAAAGCGUGGGGAGCAAACAGG
Molecule: ribosomal RNA, 253 nt
Filed under: uncultured bacterium
Lineage: Bacteria
Description: partial 16S ribosomal RNA
Rfam family: Bacterial small subunit ribosomal RNA
Source: RNAcentral